This 253-nucleotide ribosomal RNA is filed under the name uncultured bacterium. RNAcentral describes it as "partial 16S ribosomal RNA". It matches the Rfam family "Bacterial small subunit ribosomal RNA", at positions 524 to 776 of the family's 1533-position model. The record is from RNAcentral.
UACAGAGGUCCCGAGCGUUGUUCGGAUUCAUUGGGCGUAAAGGGUGCGUAGGCGGCGCCGUAAGUCAGGUGUGAAAGCUUGGGGCUCAACCCCAAAAGAGCAUUUGAAACUGCGGUGCUAGAGGACUGGAGAGGAGACUGGAAUUCACGGUGUAGCAGUGAAAUGCGUAGAUAUCGUGAGGAAGGCCAGUGGCGAAAGCGGGUCUCUGGACAGGUUCUGACGCUGAGGCACGAAGGCUAGGGGAGCAAACGGG